UACGUAGGAUGCAAGCGUUGUCCGGAAUUAUUGGGCGUAAAGAGCUCGUAGGCGGUUCGUCGCGUCGGCUGUGAAAUCCCGGAGCUCAACUCCGGGUCUGCAGUCGAUACGGGCGGACUCGAGUUCGGCAGGGGAGACUGGAAUUCCUGGUGUAGCGGUGAAAUGCGCAGAUAUCAGGAGGAACACCGGUGGCGAAGGCGGGUCUCUGGGCCGAUACUGACGCUGAGGAGCGAAAGCGUGGGGAGCGAACAGG
This 253-nucleotide ribosomal RNA is filed under the name uncultured bacterium. RNAcentral's name for it is "partial 16S ribosomal RNA". It matches the Rfam family "Bacterial small subunit ribosomal RNA", at positions 524 to 776 of the family's 1533-position model. The record is from RNAcentral.